GAACACGGAAGCUUUGUGUUUGGGACCCUCUCAGACAUCUCCUCUGAAUGUCUUCACUUGGCUGGUCCUCAUUUCUACUCUUUCAAGUAGAAUUAUAAUUCUGACUGGGGUAAAGACAUAUUGCCUGGAUCUUGAGUUGCCAUCUUUAGCCAAAAAGUGGAAUCUACAGGCUGAAGAUGGACAAACCUCAAGAUAGAAGGAGCCUGAGUGCCUGAUAAUGAUAGUGCCAUGACACCCAGCUCUGGACUGCUUACUUUGGAUUUCUUUUGCAUGAGAGAAAUUUUUUAAAUCUUUAUUGGUGAAUCUAAUCCUUAUUAUUGUACCUGUUAAACUGCCCCCCAUGUGGCAGCCAUAGAAAUGCACCACUCAGACUUCAUUUUAAGAGAAUCUGCUGCAAAGAACAUAGUUGGUUGAUAGCCUUCAACUGCCAUAGCUCUGGAUCUGCCACGUGGUUCACAAAAAGGCUAUUCUCCCUCCAAGCUGUCUCAGCAAGUGACUGAACAUGGAAGGGGUACUGGAGCUGGGCCAUUUCUGCCCGGUGUAGGGCUUCUCCAAAAGGCAGUCCUUUGCUUUGGAGCUCCCCAUUGGCCUGCCAUGGUUUUCUUUGAGCUGCCCUGUGCACGGAGGCUCCUCCUAUCUGAGCCUACUUCUGUCCCUCUGUCAUGUGUGUAAGCCCUGUAUUGCCAUCUGAAGCUUCACCCAA
Long non-coding RNA from Leopardus geoffroyi (Geoffroy's cat), 703 nucleotides. RefSeq lists it as uncharacterized. The record is from RefSeq and is a predicted model, not a curated record. NCBI's taxonomy places the organism in Eukaryota, Metazoa, Chordata, Mammalia, Carnivora, Felidae. The transcript is spliced from 2 exons.